GGUCCUAUAGCUCAGUUGGUUAGAGCACCUGACUCAUAAUCAGGGGGUCCCUGGUUCGAGCCCAGGUGGGACCACUA
This 77-nucleotide transfer RNA is filed under the name Flagellimonas nanhaiensis. RNAcentral's name for it is "Muricauda sp. SM1704 tRNA-Met". It matches the Rfam family "tRNA". From Rfam's summary of the family: Transfer RNA (tRNA) molecules are approximately 80 nucleotides in length. Their secondary structure includes four short double-helical elements and three loops (D, anti-codon, and T loops). Further hydrogen bonds mediate the characteristic L-shaped molecular structure. tRNAs have two regions of fundamental functional importance: the anti-codon, which is responsible for specific mRNA codon recognition, and the 3' end, to which the tRNAs corresponding amino acid is attached (by aminoacyl-tRNA synthetases). tRNAs cope with the degeneracy of the genetic code in two manners: having more than one tRNA (with a specific anti-codon) for a particular amino acid; and 'wobble' base-pairing, i.e. permitting non-standard base-pairing at the 3rd anti-codon position. The record is from RNAcentral. Lineage: Bacteria; Pseudomonadati; Bacteroidota; Flavobacteriia; Flavobacteriales; Flavobacteriaceae.